AGUGAACGCUGGCGGUAGGCCUAACACAUGCAAGUCGAACGGCAGCACAGUAAGAGCUUGCUCUUACGGGUGGCGAGUGGCGGACGGGUGAGGAAUACAUCGGAAUCUACUUUUUCGUGGGGGAUAACGUAGGGAAACUUACGCUAAUACCGCAUACGACCUACGGGUGAAAGCAGGGGAUCUUCGGACCUUGCGCGAUUGAAUGAGCCGAUGUCGGAUUCGCUAGAUGGCGGGGGAAAGGCCCACGAAGGCGACGAUCCGUAACUGGUCUGAGGGGAAGAUUAGACACAUGGGCAGUGAGACACGGUCCACACACUGACGGGGGGCAGCAGCGGGGAAUAUUGGACGAUGGGCGCGUGCCGGAUCCAGCCAUACCGCGUGGAGGAAGAAGGACUUCGGGUUGUAAAGUCCUUUUGUUGGGAGAGAAGUGCAGCAGGUUAAUACCCCGCUGUUCUGACGGUACCCAAAGAAUAAGCACCGGCUAACUUCGUG
This 492-nucleotide ribosomal RNA is filed under the name uncultured bacterium. RNAcentral describes it as "partial 16S ribosomal RNA". It matches the Rfam family "Bacterial small subunit ribosomal RNA", at positions 29 to 507 of the family's 1533-position model. The record is from RNAcentral.